CCCAUGGCUGAAUCUGUGCAACA
RNAcentral lists this small nuclear RNA (23 nucleotides) under Arabidopsis thaliana (thale cress). RNAcentral describes it as "snRNA_17446". Lineage: Eukaryota; Viridiplantae; Streptophyta; Magnoliopsida; Brassicales; Brassicaceae. The record is from RNAcentral.